Long non-coding RNA from Strigops habroptila (Kakapo), 4403 nucleotides. NCBI's taxonomy places the organism in Eukaryota, Metazoa, Chordata, Aves, Psittaciformes, Psittacidae. The record is from Ensembl.
CUCCAUAAAACAUUAAUAUUUUAAUGAAAAAUCUUAGCUUCAUGUUUCUAUCCAAAGACACUCAAAACUAGUUUUUCUCCCCCCUUAAUUUUGACCUAUAAUGGGACCAGUUUGGCUUUUAUUUUUUUUUUGUAUUUUAGACCAUUUUUUUUUAAAGAUUAAACAACCAGGCUAGCAAAAAGGUACCCAAUACAUACUUUUCUUAUAUCAAACAAGCUAGUAUUUCAAUACAAUGUAACUAUACAGAAUAUAUACAUUACACAGAUGAUCACAAAGCAAACACUACAGGCUCAGAACAGAUUGGAAAACCCAUGAUAUUCACAUUGGUUACAAGAACUCUAAAAAUGAUUGUAACGUUGAAACGGCACUUGGUUUACAAAAGAAGUCACAAAAAUAGAUAUAGCCACCAAGAACUAUGGUUCCUGAAAAAUACUAAUAGCCAGAUAGGAUUCUAUAAAAUGUGAAGUGUAUUUAAACAUCGUAUACAUUAAAAAACAAAACCAAACCCAAAAAAAACCCAACUCUGGGAAGUCAAUAAACAUGCCAAGUAAUCUAGCUGUGGCCAGCAUCAACAAGAGAAGCUGUACUGGGGAUGAGAUGACAACUGGAUAUACGGCUGGUGACUGGAGACUGGCACAGUUAAAGGGGGUUUCACUGGUACUAAAAUGCACAAAGAAGCCCAACAAUAAUUUAAUUCACAUUUUUUUUGUUUUCCCUCUUUUCCCUCUUCGGGGUUUCACCAUAGGGCAGCACCUUAAAGUGAAGGCACUGCGGGAACAGGGCAAAGAAGCUGUCCAAGGACUUGGUGUAGCCAGGGCUAUAGGUCAGGAUAUCAAAAGCAUGCAUCAGUUAAAGGAAUGGUGAAACAAAAUCACUCCUCUGGGGACUUCAACAACCCUCAGGAAGACUGUAGGUAACAGUUGCCACACAGCACCAGGAGCUCAGACGGCUUUAUUUUGUUGUUAGUGCAACCAGGGUUGUAGUUGAGACCUGUGGGACACUGAAUUACUGUGAUAGCACACGUUGAGUUAACAAAAACCCAGAGCAGUAGCACUGUUGCAUUAAAGUAAUUCACAUUUGGUUCUUUUAUGGUACAUUUCCUCCAAUACUUGGAAGUGACUCCAUUUCUUAGGGACCUCUGAUGGGGCUGAGGUCCCGUCCGGCCUUGAACCCUCUUAUCUGUCAUCAAGAUGCUAUGGAAUUUAUUAUGUCCAUAACUGGAGAUGAGAACCCUCCAAAACCAGGUUUCACCUCGUAAGCAAAACUCCAACUUAAUGGAUCUGAAUGAACAUUAGCUAUUUUCCCAUAUUCUGAUGGUGUGGAAGUUGCAAUGGACGCAGGAGCAACGGGUGCUCCUACAGCCCCAGUUUCUCCAUCCCUGCAGGGUGCACAAAGCUCCCCUUCUAUUUGCAUAUAAAAUGCUGCCUGGUUCCUCUCAGAGAGAGACCAGUAAUAGUCUCAGUGCUCUUAUGUCCUGGGGCUGGAGGGGAAAGCCAGCAACCAAGAAAUGACUGAAGCCCUCAUAUAAAAACUUGAAACCAUAGCUUAAAAACAAUAACAUUUUUAUCCCAGAAGGGACAUAUAGGGAUCAUAGUCUUACAAAAUAUAUUUGACUGCAUUGGCAGCUAUUACUUCUUUUAAAAAGCUUAAAUUCACACCUUUUAGACUCAAGAUACAUGUGAACCCAGAACCAUUUCCCAUAACUUAGUUUACUAAUCUCUCACUAUGAGAGACUUGACCAUAGUAUCUGCGAGCCUGACAACUGAACUCAAACUCCAACACACAUCUUGUUUAAUGCAGUGUUAAGACCAGUGACAAAAGCAGUUCUGACCAGGAGCUUCAGUGGCUACAAGUGUAGGUGUCCCCAUGGAUUUCCAGUCUCUGCAUGGAAAACCAAACCAAACCCUCACAACUCAGCCAAACCUCUCGCACAGCUAAAACGUUGCUUCUUUUUCUUCCACUCUUUGUGGGGAAAUAAAAAGCUUCUCAGUUUUCCCCCCUCUCCCAAAACACCACAUUAAAUCAGGAACAAAGCCUAUCCCUUCCUUUCCCGUUGUUCCCAUCAGAUGUACUGCUCUACACGAUACACAAGGAGUAAAGACCCUGCACAGACUCCGAGGAUCCGGGUCCCUGGCAUAGGGCAGAACCUUGUUAGUUCUGUGGUAGUGAAGGCACUCUGCUUGCAAAAUGAACAGGGGAGGAAAGGAUUUGCUACUGAGUGCAAAGAUUGGUGCCACGUGGGAGAAGGACAUGCAAAAACAAGACAGAAAUCACUUUGUGGAUGAAUUUGGACACUACUCAAUGACAAAGAAUUGGCUGCAAUGGGUCAUAAGUGGAGCUAUUUGGAACCCAACCACUCGUAACUUAAAGAAGAUGAAGGGAUUGGAGCAUCUCCAUAGAGGCCGAGAGUGAUCUGGUUUGUCUGGAGAAGGCUCAGGGGGAUCUUACCAAUGUUUGAAACCAGUGGAUGGGAAGGGGCAAAGAUGGAGCCAGACCUUCCCCAGUGGGCACAAACUGCAAUACAAGUAAUGCCACCUAAAGACACUGACCCCUUUUUAGGGUGAGGGUGGCCAGACACAGGAACAGGCUCCCCAGAGAAACUGGGGAGUCUCCACCUUUGCUGAUGUUUAUCUGGCUGGACUGAGCAACCUGUUGUGCUGACUCUGCUUUGAGAGCAGGGGUUGAAGUAGAUGAUCUCCAAGUCCCUUCCAGUUCAACUCUUGUGGCAUUCUGUGAUCCUUGUCAAGCAGAAGUAGAAAUAUAUAUCAAAUAAGGGGGUUGUUUUUGGUGGGGGGAAGAAAAAAGGGGAAAAACACGAGAAAAAAUAAACAGAAAAUAAGAACAAAAGGGAAAGAAGAAAAGGAAAGGAGAUAAAACAAGAAAAUGCAGUCCAGAGUUCAAACCCCUCUGAUAAUGGACUGAAAGAAAUUUAUGCUUUAGGUUUAAUCCCAAGUGUAGUUUAAGGCAAGUUUCUUCCAGCUUAGUGAGAUCUCCACCUCGCUCAAUUUGGAAUCUAAGCAUAUUAGAAACAGAGACUGGUUUAAGAUGUCCUAUGUUUUACAUCUCUCUUGUGAAGAACACCAGCAUUUCAAAGAACUGAGCACUUCCAACAAGUUAGGGAGGAAAAAUGAAGUGAUAUUUGUAUUUCAUGUGGGGUUACUUCAAUGGAGAAAAGAGCACUUAACAAGGAACAAACAGGAAUAUGACCAAGUGAACCCAAGCCUAAACCACGCAAACAAAAUAAACUCUGUUGUUCCUGCAGUUGAAUCAGAUUGAGAAGUGAGAAUUAAGAUGUUACACUGAGAUUACAGGGUUGAAAAGAUAAUGCCAGGCUGGAUGGGGCUUGGAGCAACACGCUCUAGCGGAAGGUGUCCCUGCCCAUGGCAGGGGCUUGGAGCUGGAUGAGCUUUAAGGUCCUUUUCAGCCCAAACCAGUCUGGGAUCCUAUGAUAACACAGUGCAAUGAACAAUGAAACCCAUGGCUUGCCUUGUACCAAGGUGGUAGCAGUUAAUGAUACUUUUCUUUUCAAGGAAGAACACAUUAGAGCUACAAAGUCUUUCCCCCCCUCCCCUUCUCUUUGGUAUUCAGAAAGCAGUUUGCCUUCUGACACAGAAGUUUAAUCCAGAUAUGUCUAUUCUGUAUGUGUGCACCUCCUCACCCUGUUUAGCAAAGCACCCAAAGGGUGAAAUUAUCAGAUUCUGACAGAAAAUGAUGUCCACCUUUGAUUCUGACCUCUGUGCAGGCUGGAAAUGCAUUUGUGUGUGAAGUACUCUUUAUUACAGCAAUCACAAAGGAUUCUCCUAGACCUGCAAAGUGGAGUUAACACUUAACAGACAAAAAGAAAUGAUGUAUUUGAGUUCAGUGUCAUAGCCCUAUAAUUCAGGAUAAAACUCAGCAAAAGGCAUUGGUUUCUCAGUGACAGGAAUUGGAAGUGGAAGAAGAGAACUGGUCUUUAAAUGCAUCCCAUCAACAGACACUGGACUAAUUGACAGUACAGCAUCCCCCAAAAAAGAGUUUCUCCUUCAAGCCCUUUUAAGAAGACUUACAAAGGUAGACACACACGACUGGAUUGUAGCAGAGAACUUUGCAGCAUGUUCCUAAAACACCCUUUGGUGCAGAAACUUCAUUCCAGUAACUUGGAAAGGACUUAAAACCCAGCCGGUUUUGCUCUGUUUAACUAAAAUGUGUGGGCUUUACCUAAACCACAGCAGAGAAAUUGCUGAAGUCACUGAAACCCUUUGAGCUCUUUCGAAAGGGCAAUAAACCUUUCUCCUUACCCAAGUUGGCUAUUAGUAGAAACAACUCAGAGCCACAGAGUAUCAGAGCUGCCUAAGCUAACAGAAUACAGGUUGAUCUUGCAAUAUAACAUGACUUUUGUGCCUUCUGUUUUGUCAGGAGCAACC